This 333-nucleotide long non-coding RNA is filed under the name Elaeis guineensis (African oil palm). RNAcentral's name for it is "long non-coding RNA (EGUI_LNC075490)". The record is from RNAcentral. Lineage: Eukaryota; Viridiplantae; Streptophyta; Magnoliopsida; Arecales; Arecaceae.
CUCCUCGGGCAACGGCAGUCGGCAUGGAGCAGUUCGACCUGCUAGUUCAGCAGGUCAGAGGCCUCACCGAAGCAGUACAGACCAUGCAGCAACAUCCACAAGCAUCAGUGCAGCUGGAAAGAGCAUCGUCGGAGUUUUAGAAUCUGACAACCGGACGAGCCACUUAGGCAAGUCGCCCUGUCUUCCCUGAAAAAAGGAAGCAGAAGGCGGAGAGCCUACCAUCCGAUCAUGAUUCCACCCCCAGAGAGUUCCUACCACCGUUCCACCAGAAGACCCUCGAGACCCGCAGUCGAGAGGACCUCUUGGAUCAAAGACUCCAGGAGAUGAACCGAC